Molecule: ribosomal RNA, 473 nt
Filed under: uncultured bacterium
Lineage: Bacteria
Description: SSU rRNA
Rfam family: Bacterial small subunit ribosomal RNA
Source: RNAcentral
AGGAUAAACGCCGGCGGCGUGCCUAACACAUGCAAGUCGAACGCGCUUUCGGGCUUCGGUGCGAGAGCGAGUGGCGGACGGGUGAGUAACACAUGGGUACCUACCUUGGAGUGAGGGAUACCGGCGAGAAAUCGCCGACAAUACCGCAUAGGCUUCUUCACAAGGGAAGCAAAGUGACGCGAGUCACGCUGUGAGAUGGGCCUGUGGCCGAUUAGCUAGUUGGGGGGGUAACGGCUUCCCAAGGCGACGAUCGGUAGCUGGUCUGAGAGGACGAUCAGCCACACUGGGAUUGAGAACGGCCCAGACUCCUACGGGGGGCAGCAGUGAGGAAUUUUCCGCAAUGGAGGCAACUCUGACGGAGCAACGCCGCGUGCAGGAGGAAGGUUUUCGGAUCGUAAACUGCUUUUCUCGGGGACGAGCAAGGACGGUACCCGGAGGAACGAAGCCCCGGCUAACUACGUGCCAGCAGCCGC